CCCUUAGAUGCUCUGGGCCGCACGCGCGCUACACUGAUGCAUUCAACGAGUUUCUUCCUGGUCCGAGAGGAAUGGGUAACCUUUUGAAAGUGCAUCGUGAUAGGGAUAGACUAUUGCAAUUAUUGGUCUUCAACGAGGAAUUCCUAGUAGACGUAGUUCAUCAGACUGCAUCGAUUACGUCCCUGCCCUUUGUACACACCGCCCGUCGCUCCUACCGAUUGAAUGCUCAGGUGAGCCAUUCGGACUUUCAUCAUGCUGGUUUCCAGUUUUGAUGAAGGAAAGUCUUGCGAACCUUAUCAUUUAGAGGAAGGAGAAGGCGUAACA
RNAcentral lists this ribosomal RNA (324 nucleotides) under uncultured eukaryote. Its description in RNAcentral is "partial 18S ribosomal RNA". It matches the Rfam family "Eukaryotic small subunit ribosomal RNA", at positions 1470 to 1796 of the family's 1831-position model. The record is from RNAcentral.